UAAACAUUACCACUUAAUCGGGUCACAUGUGAAGGUCUUGAAGGGUUUAUGAUAAAAACAGCAGCAUUACUAACAGGCAGCAGAAAAGUCGAAACUGCAUCAGUUCAGACAAAAGAAGACUGUUUGAACAAAAUAUUGCUUUGUCAAGAAGAGCAAGAUAGAAGUAAGGCGACGUUAUGAGCAUUUCCUUACGCAGCAUGUGUAUGGAGCCAUGACUGAGCAGAGAUGUGACAGGGUCAUCCGCGACAGACGCAUCACACAAUCCCAAAAUGGCAACGACUGCAAAGAAGU
Long non-coding RNA from Megalobrama amblycephala (Wuchang bream), 291 nucleotides. RefSeq lists it as uncharacterized. NCBI's taxonomy places the organism in Eukaryota, Metazoa, Chordata, Actinopteri, Cypriniformes, Xenocyprididae. The transcript has 3 exons. The record is from RefSeq and is a predicted model, not a curated record.